This 3421-nucleotide long non-coding RNA is filed under the name Sus scrofa (pig). RNAcentral's name for it is "lncRNA (ENSSSCG00040044831.1, ENSSSCG00060015954.1)". The record is from RNAcentral. Lineage: Eukaryota; Metazoa; Chordata; Mammalia; Artiodactyla; Suidae.
AAAUACUUUAUUACAUUGACUCUAGUUUCCUUAACAGAUGAAUAUCAAAUGAGCAACCUGGUUUAGUCACUGAAAAAAAUGAAACAUUUCUGAAACCUCACAAAAUGGUUCAGUGUGCAAACUAGAACUAGUCAAGCAUCCAUCUCUUUACAGAACGGCACAGUCUCUGCAAGCAGCGGGGUGCAUCGUAAGAGCUUUCUCUGCAGCCCUGAAGCCUCUCAGCUGCAGAGAUGAGGGUAGAUUUCACAGGAAACUCCAAUGCAACUUCAAGGUCAAACGUUCUCCCAGGGAGCUGCGGGGAGGAUAGUGGGAAGUGACAGCUCAAACCUGCUUCAAAACCUAGACAACCGAAGUCUUACAGGGAAAUUCACAUUUUCUUUACUUCCAGGAAGUUACCACACACUUAAGAAACUGUGACUUCUACACCGAUUCCCAAUCUAGUCAAUUAUUUGUAGUCUUAUCAGAAAACUUGUACUAAGUAGUUGUUUUGUCUAUGGUUUCUUAAAAUAUAAUUUAGUUUAAUGGUUUAAAAAUGAGAGUGACAUUUGUAUACAUAGUCACAGUUUAGGAGAAAGGUAGGUGACUUGAAUUUCUGAAUUUGGAAUGAAGAAAGUUGUUAAAUGGCUUUAUUUAAAAAACAAAAAAAGGCACAAAGGUAUAAAUGAUACCCUUGUUAACAACAAGCAUGAAAGUGAUAUAGAGAUACCAGUGUUUUAAGACCAAUGCCAAUAGACUGAUUUUUUAACAAAAUCAUUUCAGUUCAUUAAAUUAUAUUUCACAGCCGCUAUGAUGUGUCUAGCACUGAUCCCAAACACAUCCAGCAAUUCACUAGGUUUUCCACUUUGAGGCAUUCCAGACACUGCCAGCUGAUGUAUGUGGAUGUCCGGCUCCCCAGAGACGGCUGCACACACAGCUUCUCCAAGACCACCUUCCUGGUAGUGAUCCUCCACUGUGAUUAUCCGGCCACCUGUGGCUUUUGCGCUGGAGAUAAUGGUGGCAGUGUCCAGGGGUUUAAUGGUAAACGGGUCAAUGAUUCGGACAGAAAUACCUUGUUGGAAAAGGGCAUCUGCAGCUGCUAAGGCUUCAUGCAGGGUAAUGCCAGCUCUAAUAACUGUGACUUUGUCAUUAACACUGCUUCGGAUAACCUUGGCCUGUCCAAUCUCGAAAUUUUCUUGUGGGGUGUAAAUAACUGCAGUUUCUGGUCCUCUGGUGCGAAUGAAGCACAUUCCUUUGGAACUGGCAGCCAGGUAGACAGCAUGCUCCGUGGAGACGGCAUCACGUGGGUAGAAAACCGUGCAAUUGGGAACGCUUCGGAACAUAGCUAGAUCUUCCAGGGUCAGCUUGGGGGGUCCAAAUUCACCCACUGACACCCCACAGUGGGAAGCAAUAAGAUUGAUAUUGGUUUGAGAUAUGGCUCCCAUCCGGAUCUGAUCAAAGGCUCUUGUGAGAAAGGCAGCUAAGGUACUAACAAAAGCAAUAGUUCGACCCCGGGCAGCAAAGCCAGUGCCACACUGACCAUGUUCUGUUCUGCAGUGAAAUGCUCAGGGUGUUCCUUCUUGAAUAUCUCAGAAAAGGUGGAGUUCUUUGGAUCACCAUCCAGGACAACAACUCUUUCGUUUGCACGGCCCAGUUUAAUUAGAGCCAAACUAUAAGCUUGCUGAGUAGCUAUCUUGUUGCCAACUUUAUAACCAGGCGGACAGGUCAUUUUUAUAUUCGUGAUGAUGCUGAUCUGAGUGGAGCCUUCAGCAGGUGGGUUGGGUAUCGGAUUCUUGUUAGUCUGUAUCUGACUCUCAAUUAGUCUGAUGACCUCAUCUGCUCUUUCUGUAGGCAUUGGCUUUCCAUGCCAAUUUUCUGCAUCCUCAACGUCUGGAAUCCCCCGGCCCUUGAACGUCUUCGCAAUUAUGGCAGUGGGCUUUGUCUUCACUUGAGCUGCCUGGCAAAACGCAAGGCACAAGGCCUCCAAGUCGUGGCCGUCCACUAGGUAAGUAUUCCACCCAAAGUCUUCACAGCGACUCUGAUAGGUAUCCAUGCAGUGCGCAAGGGGCGCCAUGCCACUCUGCCCCAAGCGGUUCACGUCAAAGACUGCCACCAGAUUGCCCAAAUUGUAGUGGGAUGCAAAGGCCAGAGCUUCCCAGACAGAGCCUUCUGAGGACUCGCCAUCGCCCAAGAGGCAGAACACCCAGUAGCUGGCCCUGUCCAAGUACUUGCCAGUAAAAGCCAUUCCGCACGCGGCCCCCAGUCCUUGGCCCAGCGACCCGGUUGCCACAUCCACGAAUGACAGUCUGGGGGUGGGAUGUCCCUCUAAGUCGCAGUUAAUGGUCCGCAGAUUCAGCAGGUCAGGCUCACUAAUGCCUCCCGCCUCUACCCAGGCGGCGUAGAGGAGUGGGGCCGCAUGGCCCUUGGAGAGGAUGAACCUGUCGUUGUCCGGGUGUCUUGGCUCCAUCUGUCUGUACUUCAUGGUGUGAAAAUAUAGCACCGACAUGAUCUCAGCAGCACUGCAGCACUAAGUGGGGUGGCCAGAGCCAGAGGCACAUGUGGCUCUGAUGCAAUGGAUGUGCAGGCGGUUGGCCACGUCCUGCAGCACCUGUGCAGUGGCUGUGUCCAGCACGGCAUCAGAGGCCAUGGCAGAGGCCCCUCAGUUCCCUGCUGAGCCAACAACUCCAGCCCCGGCAGUUUUGUCACGUGACAGUGACGCCCUGGCUCCGCCUCCACCGGAAACAGCUCUGAGGUUCCCUCACAGGAUAGUGCACACUGGCCCCGCCUCCCAGGAAACAAGCUGGGUGGUGCUGUUGCAGCUUGGCCAACCUCCCCAAAAACAGUGCUGCAGCUUCAUCACUGUGGAGGAACACCCUGGCCCUGCCUCCCUAAGGUAGCUUCUGACUUUGGUAUUUGCCCUGCUCCACGGUCUCCUUCUGAUGAAUGGGUUUUUAAUACUUAUCUUGUCACCCACAUGUUCAACAUUAUUGAAAAUAAUUAAAUGUUUCUAUACCUUUGCUCACGCUGUAAGCAUUCUUCUUUCCAUGUAUUAUAGGAAAUUUAGUUGCGGCCAUGCUUCUUUUUCAUGCCUUGACCCAAUCUCUGAGACAUCUUCACUGUUCUACAGCAGUGCUUUCAUGCAAAUGAUCCAAAGUCUCUUUUGGUCCAACCUGCCUCGCCACAUCCUAGCUGCGGCCGAGCGACCCAGGGGCUGCGGCCUCACCCGGUCUCCGCGGCCUCGCCCCGGCGCACAGCGGGCAGCCUCUCAGUGAACACCCCGUCCAGGGAUCCCUUCCCGGUACCGUUAUUCACGGUAAAAGCCACACGGCCUGAGCCGGACACUGAAGGGCUGGGCGGGGAGGAGCCCUGGACUGCUGAGCGACUUCUGCGGGACAAAAAGAGGGGCCAGAGCGCGUCAGCCCCGCUGGCCCACCACGUGCAUCUC